GAAGGUAUAGCUAAGUUGUAGAGUGUGUGCUUAGCAUGCACGAGGUCCUGGGUUCAAUGGCUGGUACCUUCA
RNAcentral lists this transfer RNA (72 nucleotides) under Camelus bactrianus (Bactrian camel). It matches the Rfam family "tRNA". Rfam says of the family: Transfer RNA (tRNA) molecules are approximately 80 nucleotides in length. Their secondary structure includes four short double-helical elements and three loops (D, anti-codon, and T loops). The record is from Rfam by way of RNAcentral. RNAcentral also lists the same sequence under 2 other names. Lineage: Eukaryota; Metazoa; Chordata; Mammalia; Artiodactyla; Camelidae.